RNAcentral lists this transfer RNA (72 nucleotides) under Camelus bactrianus (Bactrian camel). It matches the Rfam family "tRNA". From Rfam's summary of the family: Transfer RNA (tRNA) molecules are approximately 80 nucleotides in length. Their secondary structure includes four short double-helical elements and three loops (D, anti-codon, and T loops). Lineage: Eukaryota; Metazoa; Chordata; Mammalia; Artiodactyla; Camelidae. RNAcentral also lists the same sequence under 2 other names. The record is from Rfam by way of RNAcentral.
GAAGGUAUAGUUCAGUGGUAGAGUGCUUGCUUAGCAUACACAAGGUCCUGGGUUCAAUCCCCAGUACCUCCA